RNAcentral lists this transfer RNA (69 nucleotides) under Ictidomys tridecemlineatus (thirteen-lined ground squirrel). RNAcentral describes it as "Spermophilus tridecemlineatus (thirteen-lined ground squirrel) tRNA". It matches the Rfam family "tRNA". From Rfam's summary of the family: Transfer RNA (tRNA) molecules are approximately 80 nucleotides in length. Their secondary structure includes four short double-helical elements and three loops (D, anti-codon, and T loops). Further hydrogen bonds mediate the characteristic L-shaped molecular structure. tRNAs have two regions of fundamental functional importance: the anti-codon, which is responsible for specific mRNA codon recognition, and the 3' end, to which the tRNAs corresponding amino acid is attached (by aminoacyl-tRNA synthetases). tRNAs cope with the degeneracy of the genetic code in two manners: having more than one tRNA (with a specific anti-codon) for a particular amino acid; and 'wobble' base-pairing, i.e. permitting non-standard base-pairing at the 3rd anti-codon position. Lineage: Eukaryota; Metazoa; Chordata; Mammalia; Rodentia; Sciuridae. The record is from Rfam by way of RNAcentral.
GGGAUUGUGGCUCAGUGGUAGAGUGCUUGCCUAGCAUGUGUGAGGCCCUGGGUUCGAUUCUCAGCACCA